This 483-nucleotide ribosomal RNA is filed under the name uncultured bacterium. Its description in RNAcentral is "partial 16S ribosomal RNA". It matches the Rfam family "Bacterial small subunit ribosomal RNA", at positions 29 to 507 of the family's 1533-position model. The record is from RNAcentral.
UUGAACGCUGGCGGCAUGCUUUACACAUGCAAGUCGAACGGCAGCGCGGGCUUCGGCCUGGCGGCGAGUGGCGAACGGGUGAGUAAUGCAUCGGAACGUGCCCAGUAGUGGGGGAUAGCCCGGCGAAAGCCGGAUUAAUACCGCAUACGACCUGAGGGUGCAAGCGGGGGACCGAAAGGCCUCGCGCUAUUGGAGCGGCCGAUGUCGGCUUAGCUAGUUGGUGGGGUAAAGGCUUACCAAGGCGACGAUCCGUAGCUGGUCUGAGAGGACGACCAGCCACACUGGGACUGAGACACGGCCCAGACUCCUACGGGAGGCAGCAGUGGGGAAUUUUGGACAAUGGGGGCAACCCUGAUCCAGCCAUGCCGCGUGCGGGAAGAAGGCCUUCGGGUUGUAAACCGCUUUUGUUCGGGAAGAAAUCCUCUGGGCUAAUACCCCGGGGGGAUGACGGUACCGGAAGAAUAAGCACCGGCUAACUACGUG